UCAACGGCUCUUUUAAGAGCCACCCAUAUUUUCAAGCAAAAAAGCU
This is a non-coding RNA of Fukomys damarensis (Damara mole-rat), 46 nucleotides long. The record is from Rfam. Lineage: Eukaryota; Metazoa; Chordata; Mammalia; Rodentia; Bathyergidae.